This 426-nucleotide ribosomal RNA is filed under the name uncultured bacterium. RNAcentral's name for it is "bacterial SSU rRNA". It matches the Rfam family "Bacterial small subunit ribosomal RNA", at positions 355 to 774 of the family's 1533-position model. The record is from RNAcentral.
UGGGGAAUUUUGGACAAUGGGGGCAACCCUGAUCCAGCCAUGCCGCGUGAGUGAAGAAGGCCUUCGGGUUGUAAAGCUCUUUCGGCGGGGAAGAAAUGGCAACGGCUAAUAUCCGUUGUUGAUGACGGUACCCGCAUAAGAAGCACCGGCUAACUACGUGCCAGCAGCCGCGGUAAUACGUAGGGUGCGAGCGUUAAUCGGAAUUACUGGGCGUAAAGCGUGCGCAGGCGGUUUCGUAAGACAGACGUGAAAUCCCCGGGCUCAACCUGGGAACUGCGUUUGUGACUGCGAGGCUAGAGUACGGCAGAGGGGGUAGAAUUCCACGUGUAGCAGUGAAAUGCGUAGAGAUGUGGAGGAAUACCGAUGGCGAAGGCAGCCCCCUGGGUUAGUACUGACGCUCAUGCACGAAAGCGUGGGGAGCAAACA